Molecule: ribosomal RNA, 446 nt
Filed under: uncultured bacterium
Lineage: Bacteria
Description: partial 16S ribosomal RNA
Rfam family: Bacterial small subunit ribosomal RNA
Source: RNAcentral
CCUACGGGUGGCAGCAGUCGAGAAUCAUUCACAAUGGGGGAAACCCUGAUGGUGCGACGCCGCGUGGGGGCAUGAAGGUCUUCGGAUUGUAAACCCCUGUCGUGUGGGAGCAAAUUAAAAAGAUAGUACCACAAGAGGAAGACACGGCUAACUCUGUGCCAGCAGCUGCGAUAAUACAGAGGUGUCAAGCGUUGUUAGGAAUCACUGGGCGUAAAGCGUGCGUAGGCUGUAUCGUAAGUCGUGGGUGAAAGGCGCGGGCUCAACCCGCUGACGGCACAUGAUACUGCGAGACUAGAGUGAUGGAGGGGGAACCGGAAUUCUCGGUGUAGCAGUGAAAUGCGUAGAUAUCGAGAAGAACACUCGUGGCGAAGGCGGGUUCCUGGACAUUAACUGACGCUGAGGCACGAAGGCCAGGGGAGCGAAAGGGAUUAGAUACCCGUGUAGUC